UAACGCGUGAGGAACCUGCCUUUCAGAGGGGGACAACAGUUGGAAACGACUGCUAAUACCGCAUGACACAUAGAGAUCGCAUGGUUUUUAUGUCAAAGAUUUAUCGCUGAAAGAUGGCCUCGCGUCUGAUUAGCUAGUUGGUGAGGUAACGGCCCACCAAGGCGACGAUCGGUAGCCGGACUGAGAGGUUGAACGGCCACAUUGGGACUGAGACACGGCCCAG
RNAcentral lists this ribosomal RNA (223 nucleotides) under uncultured bacterium. RNAcentral describes it as "partial 16S ribosomal RNA". It matches the Rfam family "Bacterial small subunit ribosomal RNA", at positions 111 to 334 of the family's 1533-position model. The record is from RNAcentral.